Molecule: long non-coding RNA, 277 nt
Filed under: Ananas comosus (pineapple)
Lineage: Eukaryota; Viridiplantae; Streptophyta; Magnoliopsida; Poales; Bromeliaceae
Description: long non-coding RNA (ACOM_LNC042268)
Source: RNAcentral
UUUAUUAAUCUAUAUUUGUUUUGUGCUACAGCUCAAGAUGCCUUUGACUCGUUCGCAAGCUGCCGGGGCAGCUGAGGCGGCGAAUUCGGAGGAAGUGGGACCUCCGUUACUUCUGGAGCUAGUGGGAUCCAUGAGUUGCAGGAUCAGCUUGCGAGCUGACGGAUUUGGUUGCUCAGAAGGUUGCGGCAGCCCGACAGCAGAUGGAUACCGCGCGUCGGCAGGAGGACAGAAUGAAGAGGUUAGAGGUUUACUACUGCAGCAGACGACCGAUAGAGAG